AUUGAACGCUGGCGGCAUGCCUUACACAUGCAAGUCGAACGGUAACAGGUUAAGCUGACGAGUGGCGAACGGGUGAGUAAUAUAUCGGAACGUGCCCAGUUGUGGGGGAUAACUACUCGAAAGAGUGGCUAAUACCGCAUGAGACCUGAGGGUGAAAGCGGGGGAUCGCAAGACCUCGCGCAGUUGGAGCGGCCGAUAUCAGAUUAGCUAGUUGGCGGGGUAAAAGCCCACCAAGGCGACGAUCUGUAGCUGGUCUGAGAGGACGACCAGCCACACUGGGACUGAGACACGGCCCAGACUCCUACGGGAGGCAGCAGUGGGGAAUUUUGGACAAUGGACGCAAGUCUGAUCCAGCCAUGCCGCGUGUGGGAAGAAGGCCUCGGUU
Molecule: ribosomal RNA, 385 nt
Filed under: uncultured bacterium
Lineage: Bacteria
Description: bacterial SSU rRNA
Rfam family: Bacterial small subunit ribosomal RNA
Source: RNAcentral